Molecule: unclassified non-coding RNA, 333 nt
Filed under: uncultured Glomeraceae
Lineage: Eukaryota; Fungi; Glomeromycota; Glomeromycetes; Glomerales; Glomeraceae
Description: sequence contains 18S rRNA gene
Source: RNAcentral
CCCAACUAUCCCUAUUAAUCAUUACGUUGAUCCUAGAAACCAAUAAAAUAGAAUCAAACGUCCUAUUUCGUUAUUCCAUGCUAAUGUAUUCAAGCGUGAGCCUGCUUUAAACACUCUAAUUUUUUCAAAGUAAUAGUCCUGAUUCUUCAAGAUACCAAAUUAAUGACAUCAUGGUUCGUCAGAAGGUAGGAAUUAAUAAUACCAGUAUAUACAAUAGCAUGACCAAUAAAUUAAUCCUGAAAUUCAACUACGAGUUUUUUAACUGCAACAACUUUAAUAUACGCUAUUGGAGCUGGAAUUACUACGGCUGCUGGCACCAGACUUGCCCUCCAA